This 478-nucleotide ribosomal RNA is filed under the name uncultured bacterium. RNAcentral's name for it is "partial 16S ribosomal RNA". It matches the Rfam family "Bacterial small subunit ribosomal RNA", at positions 28 to 523 of the family's 1533-position model. The record is from RNAcentral.
GACGAACGCUGGCGGCGUGCUUAACACAUGCAAGUCGAACGGUAAGGCCCUUCGGGGUACACGAUUGGCGAACGGGUGAGUAACACGUGGGUGAUCUGCCCUGCACUUCGGGAUAAGCCUGGGAAACUGGGUCUAAUACCGGAUAGGACUCCUGGCUUCAUGGUUGGGGGUGGAAAGCUUUUGCGGUGUGGGAUGGGCCCGCGGCCUAUCAGCUUGUUGGUGGGGUAAUGGCCUACCAAGGCGACGACGGGUAGCCGGCCUGAGAGGGUGACCGGCCACACUGGGACUGAGAUACGGCCCAGACUCCGACGGGAGGCAGCAGUGGGGAAUAUUGCGCAAUGGGCGCAAGCCUGAUGCAGCGACGCCGCGUGAGGGAUGACGGCCUUCGGGUUGUAAACCUCUUUCAGCACCGACGAAGCGCAAGUGACGGUAGGUGCAGAAGAAGGACCGGCCAACUACGUGCCAGCCGCCGCGGUAA